RNAcentral lists this ribosomal RNA (439 nucleotides) under uncultured bacterium. Its description in RNAcentral is "partial 16S ribosomal RNA". It matches the Rfam family "Bacterial small subunit ribosomal RNA", at positions 338 to 795 of the family's 1533-position model. The record is from RNAcentral.
CCUACGGGGGGCAGCAGUGGGGGAUAUUGCACAAUGGGGGAAACCCUGAUGCAGCGAUGCCGCGUGAAUGAAGACGGCCUUCGGGUUGUAAAGUUCUGUCGCAGGGGACGAAAAUGACGGUACCCUGCAAGAAAGCUCCGGCUAACUACGUGCCAGCAGCCGCGGUAAUACGUAGGGAGCAAGGGUUGUCCGGAAUUACGGGGUGUAAAGGGAGCGUAGGCGGGAGGAAAAGUUGAAUGUGAAAUCUAUGGGCUCAACCCAGAGCUGCGUUCCAAACUGUUCUUCUUGAGUGAAGUAGAGGCAGGCGGAAUGCGUAGUGUAGCGGUGAAAUGCGUAGAUAUUAGGAGGAACACCAGUGGCGAAGGCGGCCUGCUGGACCGUAACUGACGUUGAGGCUCGAAAGCGUGGGGAGCAAACAGGAUUAGAUACCCUUGUAGUC